Molecule: ribosomal RNA, 305 nt
Filed under: uncultured bacterium
Lineage: Bacteria
Description: bacterial SSU rRNA
Rfam family: Bacterial small subunit ribosomal RNA
Source: RNAcentral
UCCUACGGGGGGCAGCAGUGAGGAAUAUUGGUCAAUGGUCGGGAGACUGAACCAGCCAAGCCGCGUGAGGGAUGAAGGUACAGAGUAUCGUAAACCUCUUUUGUCAGGGAACAAAGGCGGGGACGUGUCCCCGGAUGAGUGUACCUGAAGAAAAAGCAUCGGCUAACUCCGUGUCAGCAGCCGCGGUAAUACGGAGGAUGCGAGCGUUAUCCGGAUUUAUUGGGUUUAAAGGGUGCGCAGGCGGUCUGUUAAGUCAGCGGUCAAAGCCCGGGGCUCAACCCCGGCCCGCCGUUGAAACUGGCAGU